GAUGAACGCUGGCGGCGUGCCUAGUACAUGCAAGUCGAGCGAACGGACGAGAAGCUUGCUUCUCUGAUGUUAGCGGCGGACGGGUGAGUAACACGUGGAUAACCUACCUAUAAGACUGGGAUAACUUCGGGAAACCGGAGCUAAUACCGGAUGAUAUUUUGAACCGCAUGGUUCAAAAGUGAAAGACGGUCUUGCUGUCACUUAUAGAUGGAUCCGCGCUGCAUUAGCUAGUUGGUAAGGUAACGGCUUACCAAGGCAACGAUGCAUAGCCGACCUGAGAGGGUGAUCGGCCACACUGGAACUGAGACACGGUCCAGACUCCUACGGGAGGCAGCAGUAGGGAAUCUUCCGCAAUGGGCGAAAGCCUGACGGAGCAACGCCGCGUGAGUGAUGAAGGUCUUCGGAUCGUAAAACUCUGUUAUUAGGGAAGAACAUAUGUGUAAGUAACUGCGCACAUCUUGACGGUACCUAAUCAGAAAGCCACGGCUAACUACGUG
This 497-nucleotide ribosomal RNA is filed under the name uncultured bacterium. RNAcentral describes it as "partial 16S ribosomal RNA". It matches the Rfam family "Bacterial small subunit ribosomal RNA", at positions 28 to 507 of the family's 1533-position model. The record is from RNAcentral.